CGCGUAGGCGGUUUAGACAGUCAGGCGUGAAAUUCCUGGGCUUAACGUGGGCAUUGCAUUUGAAACUAUGUAGCUAGAGUUCUGUAGAGGGGGGUAGAAUUCCAGGUGUAGCGGUGAAAUGCGUAGAGAUCUGGAGGAAUACCGAUUGCGAAGGCAGCCCCCUGGACAGUGACUGACGCUCAUAUGCGAAAGCGUGGGGAUCAAACAGGAUUAGAUACCCCCGUA
Molecule: ribosomal RNA, 225 nt
Filed under: uncultured Thorsellia sp.
Lineage: Bacteria; Pseudomonadati; Pseudomonadota; Gammaproteobacteria; Enterobacterales; Thorselliaceae
Description: partial 16S ribosomal RNA
Rfam family: Bacterial small subunit ribosomal RNA
Source: RNAcentral